AUUUAAAUCGCAAAAUUUUAUCAAUUGGCGUAAAUUUGCUUAUUCGUUUGCAGACUAGAAAAAUGGCGAACAGCUAUCAAAAUACUGAUUCAAAAUACACAUCUUUCACUGGACACACAAAUGGGUGUGCGCAGCAAAAUUCAGCCCUAAUGGCGAAUGUAUGCGAACGUUCACCGGGGGAAGAGGUAUGGGACGACAGCUGGCAUGGCAUCCAGACGGCAAUCUGGUGGCUUUAGCAUUAA
Rhagoletis zephyria (snowberry fruit fly) is the source of this 242-nucleotide long non-coding RNA. RefSeq lists it as uncharacterized. NCBI's taxonomy places the organism in Eukaryota, Metazoa, Arthropoda, Insecta, Diptera, Tephritidae. The record is from RefSeq and is a predicted model, not a curated record.